UGUUAGUUCCAAACACUGUAAAAUUGAAUACUUGGUCAGAUCUGGAAAGAAGCAGCCGCAUCAGCUAAUACAGGUGUUUGAUACAGCUAACAGAU
Molecule: signal recognition particle RNA, 95 nt
Filed under: Buchnera aphidicola (Brachycaudus cardui)
Lineage: Bacteria; Pseudomonadati; Pseudomonadota; Gammaproteobacteria; Enterobacterales; Erwiniaceae
Description: signal recognition particle sRNA small type
Rfam family: Bacterial small signal recognition particle RNA
About the family: The signal recognition particle (SRP) is a universally conserved ribonucleoprotein involved in the co-translational targeting of proteins to membranes. Archaeal SRP consists of a 7S RNA and homologues of the eukaryotic SRP19 and SRP54 proteins. In most bacteria, the SRP consists of a 4.5S RNA and the Ffh protein (a homologue of the eukaryotic SRP54 protein).
Source: RNAcentral